RNAcentral lists this long non-coding RNA (465 nucleotides) under Priapulus caudatus. Its description in RNAcentral is "uncharacterized LOC106819315, transcript variant X2". The record is from RNAcentral. Lineage: Eukaryota; Metazoa; Priapulida; Priapulimorpha; Priapulimorphida; Priapulidae.
UGUGGCGCGUUUCUUUGUCUCUAAAAGUCUGAAAUCAGCAGUUCAUCGGUGAGGGCGCCACAUUCCACAUGGGGCAGUACAUGGCCGCUUUCAAGGCAAGGAAAGUCGUACAGUAGCUGCCAUAACUGGCGUGACCAGGGCAGUGACGUGUCCCAGAUGGUUAUAUGAAGCUGCCAUUGCCAUAACGUGUGGCGCGUUUCUUCGUCUCUAAAAGUCUGAAAUCAGAAGUUCAUCGGUGAGGGCGCCACCUUCCACAUGGUGCAGUCCACGGCCGCUUUCAAGGCAAGGAAAGUCAUACAGUAGCUGCCAUAACUGGUACCACUGCCAGAAAAUGAGACGCAUUUCUUCGUCUCUAAACGUCUUAAAUCAGCAGUUCAUCGGUGAGGGCGCCACCUUCCACAUGGGGCAGUACACGGCCGCUGUCAUGUCAAGGAAAGUCAUACAGUAGCUCCCAUAACUGGUAAA